This 253-nucleotide ribosomal RNA is filed under the name uncultured bacterium. RNAcentral's name for it is "partial 16S ribosomal RNA". It matches the Rfam family "Bacterial small subunit ribosomal RNA", at positions 524 to 776 of the family's 1533-position model. The record is from RNAcentral.
UACAGAGGUGGCAAGCGUUGUUCGGAAUUACUGGGCGUAAAGGGCGCGUAGGCGGUUCGGUAAGUCCUGUGUGAAAUCCCUCGGCUCAACUGAGGAACUGCACGGGAGACUGCCGGGCUUGAGUUCGGGAGAGGGAAGCGGAAUUCCGGGUGUAGCGGUGAAAUGCGUAGAUAUCAGGAAGAACACCCGUGGCGAAAGCGGCUCUCUGGAACGGUACUGACGCUGAGACGCGAAAGCGUGGGGAGCGAACAGG